RNAcentral lists this ribosomal RNA (255 nucleotides) under uncultured prokaryote. Its description in RNAcentral is "partial 16S ribosomal RNA". It matches the Rfam family "Bacterial small subunit ribosomal RNA", at positions 521 to 775 of the family's 1533-position model. The record is from RNAcentral.
UAAUACAGAGACUGCAAGCGUUAUUCGGAUUCACUGGGCGUAAAGGGUGCGCAGGCGGCCAAGUGUGUGAGGCGUGAAAGCCUGGAGCUUAACUCCAGAAUUGCACCUCAAACUACAUGGCUAGAGCAUUGGAGAGGGUAGCAGAAUUCACGGUGUAGCAGUGAAAUGCGUAGAUAUCGUGAGGAAUACCAGAGGCGAAGGCGGCUACCUGGACAAUUGCUGACGCUCAGGCACGAAAGCGUGGGGAGCAAAAGG